CGGGAUAUAGCUCAAUGAAUAGAGCGCUCUGCCUAGUGUAGAGAGGUUGGUGGUCCAAAUCCACUUAUCCCGACCA
Molecule: transfer RNA, 76 nt
Filed under: Candidatus Buchananbacteria bacterium CG10_big_fil_rev_8_21_14_0_10_33_19
Lineage: Bacteria; Candidatus Buchananiibacteriota
Also listed under: 1 other name
Description: tRNA-OTHER
Rfam family: tRNA
About the family: Transfer RNA (tRNA) molecules are approximately 80 nucleotides in length. Their secondary structure includes four short double-helical elements and three loops (D, anti-codon, and T loops).
Source: RNAcentral